This 421-nucleotide unclassified non-coding RNA is filed under the name Hevea brasiliensis (rubber tree). Lineage: Eukaryota; Viridiplantae; Streptophyta; Magnoliopsida; Malpighiales; Euphorbiaceae. The record is from RNAcentral.
UGAAUUUUGAUGAUGCUUUAAAUCUUCCAUUGCAACUCCCCUCCAUCUCUUCUCUCCAUGAAGAUUUUUAGGUAUGUUUAUUGUUGUGAUUUGUGCACCGUUUCAAUCUGAGUUGAGUUGCUGCAAAGGUCUUAGCUGAUCUGUGCCAAACAUGUCCACUAUGGAAAAUCGUGGUGAUUUUGUACAACGGAUUGGAGCCGACAUGUCAAUUGAGGUCUUCUUGCAUUUGGACGACCCUUCUGAUCUUGCCCGUGUUUGUUCUGUUUCCAGUUCUUGGCGCUAUUUUGUGAUUGCAAAUGGCCUUUUUAAGAAGCUUUGCUUGAAAUUGUUGCCUGAAAUGUAUAGUGUUGCUCAUUUCAUUGAAGUAAACAAUAUGAUUGAACCUGUAAGAGUUGGACAGAGUGAUUGCAUGGAAUGGGAG